Molecule: transfer RNA, 75 nt
Filed under: Candidatus Woesearchaeota archaeon CG10_big_fil_rev_8_21_14_0_10_44_13
Lineage: Archaea; Nanobdellati; Candidatus Woesearchaeota
Description: tRNA-Glu
Rfam family: tRNA
About the family: Transfer RNA (tRNA) molecules are approximately 80 nucleotides in length.
Source: RNAcentral
GCCCCGGUAGUGUAGUCCGGCCAAUCAUUUCGGCCUUUCGCGCCGAAGACCCGAGUUCAAAUCUCGGCCGGGGCA